Molecule: long non-coding RNA, 333 nt
Organism: Cucurbita moschata (crookneck pumpkin)
Lineage: Eukaryota; Viridiplantae; Streptophyta; Magnoliopsida; Cucurbitales; Cucurbitaceae
Exons: 2
Source: RefSeq, a predicted model, not a curated record
UAAGCUAACGGUGGACUUGAGUUGUUACUUGUUAGCGCAGCCAAGGCACUGCUCGAGUUGAUAGUGGAGGAUGUAAUACCUUCGCUGAAAGCAAUACUUGAAGCACAAGACGAUGUCUCCGACGUCGGAUUAUCAUUCCAAGAUGACAGAUUGGAUGGUUCAUUCUUGAAAAAUGGAGUUCCCUACUUGGGCUUUCUUCCCCAAUGGCCUCUCAGGUACUUCAAUUCUUUGAGAAUGUAAUUACUUUGUCGUUGUCAUCACCCUUUUACCUCCUGGCUUCCAAUGUCUUUUGUUAGAUACAAAAAUGAUGAAUGCAAGUAUGAACAAAUUAUC